This 247-nucleotide ribosomal RNA is filed under the name uncultured Bdellovibrio sp. RNAcentral describes it as "partial 16S ribosomal RNA". It matches the Rfam family "Bacterial small subunit ribosomal RNA", at positions 208 to 454 of the family's 1533-position model. The record is from RNAcentral. Lineage: Bacteria; Pseudomonadati; Bdellovibrionota; Bdellovibrionia; Bdellovibrionales; Pseudobdellovibrionaceae.
GAGUAAUUCGUUUGAAGAUGAGCCCGCGCGAGAUUAGCUAGUUGGUAGGGUAAUGGCCUACCAAGGCUACGAUCUCUAGCUGGCCUGAGAGGAUGAUCAGCCACACUGGAACUGAGACACGGUCCAGACUCCUACGGGAGGCAGCAGUAGGGAAUAUUGCACAAUGGGGGAAACCCUGACGCAGCGACGCCGCGUGAGUGAUGAAGGACUUCGGUUCGUGAAGCUCUGUCGCAGGGGAAUAAAUUCG